GAAAGAGAAUGCUCCAUUGUUGAACUUAGAGUUUCGGUCAUAACCCUCCUUGCAUUUGCCAAAUUUGCGGACUGACCUUAUGGAUGGACUAGAAGCUCACAGUAUUCAACUAUUUUGGUAGAUGUUUUCUAUUUUGGGAUGUGACAUGUAUAUAGACAGUUGUGAAUUUUUAAAUUGUUAUGUUAUAAUGAUAUAUCUAGUUAAAUGGUUGGAUGCGUAUUUGUUUUUGGUUAGGUUACUCCUUAAGGUCUUAAGGUCAAGAAAUUGGUCUCAAACUGUAUGCUCACUUUGAUCUUAGAUUGUUCUCAAAUUGUUUUUAGGGCCCUGCAUGCUUGUUUUAAGGCCUAUUUGUGUAUGUAUACUAGGAAUUAAAUUAUUUGGCAAAUGCUAGUAUUUAGUUAAAAAAUUAUGUCUGUUAAAUAGUUAAA
Molecule: long non-coding RNA, 428 nt
Organism: Gossypium raimondii (Peruvian cotton)
Lineage: Eukaryota; Viridiplantae; Streptophyta; Magnoliopsida; Malvales; Malvaceae
Exons: 2
Source: RefSeq, a predicted model, not a curated record